RNAcentral lists this long non-coding RNA (208 nucleotides) under Mytilus galloprovincialis (Mediterranean mussel). The record is from RNAcentral. Lineage: Eukaryota; Metazoa; Mollusca; Bivalvia; Mytilida; Mytilidae.
GUUACAUUUUGGUGUUGUGUCUCUGUUGUGUCAUAGUUCUCUUAUAUUUAAUACGUUUCCCUCAUUUUUAGUUUGUAGCCGGAUUUUUUUUUUUUUUUUUCUCUAUCAAUUAAAGAUUUUUUAACAGCGAUACAUGUAUACUACUGUUGCCUUUAUUCAACGCCAUUUCAGCAGUAUUGUCCAUAUAGGUGCAACCUUAAGUUUAGAU